Molecule: small RNA, 99 nt
Filed under: bovine gut metagenome
Description: RT-5 RNA
Rfam family: RT-5 RNA
About the family: Clostridium (Firmicutes). Environment (Cow rumen (57))
Source: RNAcentral
UGCGCCCGCGGCGGACGCAGCACGGGAUAUAUAUGCUUUGCGGGCAGCAGCCCCGUGUACCGUCCUGUAACGUAUGCACAGCAUACUUCAAAGUUUUUU